UGGGGAAUAUUGCACAAUGGGCGCAAGCCUGAUGCAGCCAUGCCGCGUGUAUGAAGAAGGCCUUCGGGUUGUAAAGUACUUUCAGCGGGGAGGAAGGGAGUAAAGUUAAUACCUUUGCUCAUUGACGUUACCCGCAGAAGAAGCACCGGCUAACUCCGUGCCAGCAGCCGCGGUAAUACGGAGGGUGCAAGCGUUAAUCGGAAUUACUGGGCGUAAAGCGCACGCAGGCGGUUUGUUAAGUCAGAUGUGAAAUCCCCGGGCUCAACCUGGGAACUGCAUCUGAUACUGGCAAGCUUGAGUCUCGUAGAGGGGGGUAGAAUUACAGGGGUAGCGGUGAAAUGCGUAGAGAUCUGGAGGAAUACCGGUGGCGAAGGCGGCCCCCUGGGCGAAGACUGACGAUCAGGUGCGAAAGCGUGGGGAGCAAACAGG
RNAcentral lists this ribosomal RNA (429 nucleotides) under Chloroflexota bacterium. RNAcentral's name for it is "Chloroflexi bacterium partial 16S ribosomal RNA". It matches the Rfam family "Bacterial small subunit ribosomal RNA", at positions 355 to 776 of the family's 1533-position model. The record is from RNAcentral. Lineage: Bacteria; Bacillati; Chloroflexota.